This is a long non-coding RNA of Hipposideros armiger (great roundleaf bat), 277 nucleotides long. RefSeq lists it as uncharacterized. The record is from RefSeq and is a predicted model, not a curated record. Lineage: Eukaryota; Metazoa; Chordata; Mammalia; Chiroptera; Hipposideridae. The transcript is spliced from 4 exons.
CUCCUGAUAUUUGGGAAAAAAACAAGCUCUGCUUUUUUUGGCAAACCACUGGUGAUAGUAAGACCCAAAGCCCAGAUGAUUUCUGCCAUAACCUUCUCAACCUUUGGAUGUUUUCUCAGCCAAUCACUGAGCUCAACUCUGAAGAAGUUAUUCAGGCUCAUUUACUACCAGACUCCAAGGUAAAGAAAGACGUCAUUGGAGGGCAGAUCAGGAUUUUACUGGAACUAGAGGAGAAGUGGAAAUCACCUAGAAAUCCUGAGCAGAUGGAAGACAGGAG